AGCUUCCUUCAGACACACCGG
This 21-nucleotide unclassified non-coding RNA is filed under the name Mus musculus (house mouse). RNAcentral describes it as "oocyte_clustered_small_RNA10086". Lineage: Eukaryota; Metazoa; Chordata; Mammalia; Rodentia; Muridae. The record is from RNAcentral.